UGGGGAAUAUUGCAUAAUGGGCGAAAGCCUGAUGCAGCAACGCCGCGUGAGUGAUGAAGGUCUUCGGAUUGUAAAGCUCUGUCUUUUGGGACGAUAAUGACGGUACCAAAGGAGGAAGCCACGGCUAACUACGUGCCAGCAGCCGCGGUAAUACGUAGGUGGCGAGCGUUGUCCGGAUUUACUGGGCGUAAAGGGUGCGUAGGCGGAUGUUUAAGUGAGAUGUGAAAUACCCGGGCUUAACUUGGGUGCUGCAUUUCAAACUGGAUAUCUAGAGUGCAGGAGAGGAGAAUGGAAUUCCUAGUGUAGCGGUGAAAUGCGUAGAGAUUAGGAAGAACACCAGUGGCGANGGCGAUUCUCUGGACUGUAACUGACGCUGAGGCACGAAAGCGUGGGUAGCAAACAGGAUAGAUACCCUGGUAGUCCACGCCGUAAACGAUGAGUACNAGGUGUAGGAG
This 455-nucleotide ribosomal RNA is filed under the name uncultured bacterium. Its description in RNAcentral is "partial 16S ribosomal RNA". It matches the Rfam family "Bacterial small subunit ribosomal RNA", at positions 355 to 828 of the family's 1533-position model. The record is from RNAcentral.